AUUCUUCCUCCAUUACCUCACUGCCUCCGGUGGCUGCUGGGAUACCGGAGGACUCGGGUCCCGGCUCGACUCAGUCCUCCAGCCGCCCGGGGAAUACCUCUAGUUCUUCCCGGCCGCCGCCGCCGCCGCCGCCCCGCCGCUUCCUCCUCCGCCUGCCGGCCUCCUUCGCCCCGUCCCGUCCGCGCAGCGCGUCCGGCCCGCCCGCAGGCCAGCUUCUCUCGGGAGCCCCCACCCAGGCGCAUGGCUCCAUGAAGCAAGAGGAGGAGGCAGAGCGCGAGAGGUCCCGUCCGCCCCAGCCGCGUCUGGGCCAGGAUAAAAGCAAAACCAUAUUCCUGCUGCUGUCAGUUAUGAUGCACUGAGAAAACUUCAGAGACCUAAACUUUUUCCAGAGAAGAGAAGCUUUACUGGUGUUCCAGCCCUAAGAAACCUUUGUUCAAGAAAACGGCAGAUGCUCUGUUGAAUCCACUGGAGAUUGUUCUGAUACUAAGGACAAGUAUCAACCAUCUUUCCUGUGAAAAAUUCCCUCUCGUACUUUAGUUCUGUGGAUCCAAAAUUUAUAGCAUUCUUCUACCACCACAGGGGCUCAUAUGACAUUAACAGACAAGACACUUUUCAGAAAGACAGGCAACGUGUUGGACCUUCCGGAGCUUCUCAGAAGACAGAGGGUUUUCUUUUGAGGAUUUAAACCUCAGACACAGGGAGCUGACCUAUUCACCUUAGAAUCCUCUGGGGCACCCAUUACAGUGUCUGUACCAAGGAGGCAACAAAGAACGGCGGAACAGACUGGAGCAGAAGGACCACCCAGCAGAGCCAAGCCAAAUCACUGACCCUCAGAGGCCUGAUGUGAAUGCUUAUGGCUUCAGUCCAUUGGAUUCUGCAGUAAUCUGCCGAUCUACAGUAUUACCACAGUAAAUAACCGAUAGACCUGAAAACGAAUGCAUGCCUUGUGCCAAAAUUGCAGGAAACCUCACCAGGAGAAACAAUUUUAUAUGAGGGAAUGUACUCUCUCCUUUGCAUUUUCCCUCAAAUCUAUAUUUUUAGCCCCUCACUUGUCUCUACAGAGCCUCAGUUGCUUAAUCUAAUUGCUGACUGAACAUCUCCAGGAAACUGUGUGUACGUGUUUGUAUUCAUAGUAUAUUUAUUUAUUAUCUGUUUACUUCCAUGGGAUAUAGUCUCCAUAAGAGAGUAGUCAUCAUUGUAUUUGUUGAUGCUUAAUAAAUAAUCAUUGAAUGG
Molecule: long non-coding RNA, 1233 nt
Filed under: Homo sapiens (human)
Lineage: Eukaryota; Metazoa; Chordata; Mammalia; Primates; Hominidae
Description: non-protein coding NUTM2B-AS1:11
Source: RNAcentral